RNAcentral lists this long non-coding RNA (3593 nucleotides) under Callithrix jacchus (white-tufted-ear marmoset). Its description in RNAcentral is "lncRNA (ENSCJAG00000080529.1)". The record is from RNAcentral. Lineage: Eukaryota; Metazoa; Chordata; Mammalia; Primates; Cebidae.
AUGCAGGUUCUCUCCAGCUUCAAGAACAUCUGCCAGGACUCGCGGCUAUGGCAUUUUUGUCAGCUGGGUGUGGCACAAAUGGGAUGUGACCUUGCCAGAGUGGUGGACCCAGGACCUGCAGAGAAGAGUGGUGCUGAGGAUUGGCAGUGCCCACUCCUAUGCCAUUCUGCUCGGCGGGACUGCAGCGGUCUGUGCUUCUGUUCACGACACUCACCACCUGCAUUGAUGACAUCACCAUCACCAUCACCACCAGCGUGGAGCAAGACAGUGGCGAGAGCUUCCAGUUCCCAUCCACCUACAAAGCUCAAAUCCAGACUGUCUGAGCGGGCACCGGCUCCCAAAAUCACCUGUGUGGUUGACCUCAUUUGGAGAAGAGGGGUCUUCUUGCCUAUGGUCACACAGCUCAGGGUGGCAAUCCUGUCCCUUUCCCAUGGAGCUACCCUCACUCCAGCUCCCCUUGGUACACAUUGUGCUCAAGGAACAGGCAGCUUACCAGGUACUCCCUGUGGCCCAAGGCCCCUCCCUGUGGCCCCAGGCUCCCACCAAAUCCCUGAGCAAAUAGUGCAGUGUUGCCAGUCUGUGGUUUCAUGUUGAACUAAUUAAAUACUCAAGUGCUGUUUAACUGUGUGCCUCUCUCCAUCCUUUAAUGACCCCUGAUGCCCACAUGUCUCAUGAGUGAAGAUGUCCCCACCCCAGAUGCCCCUUCCCAAGGUGUGCUUUCAGGACUCAGCUCCUAGACAGGGACAGUCAGCCAUUAGGGAUAGGGUGGGACCAGGGCAGGGGCUCUCCUGACUCCUGAUACCUGUUCGCCUGCCCCCCAGCGUUACUGCCACCUGCUAUAGGUGACUGAGAAGUGGGCCUAGGGCACCUUCAGACUCAACCCCAAUGAUGAGGACAUCCACACAGCCAGCGAGCACCACCUGAAGGUAAGAUCCCUGCAGCCCCACUGCUUUCCUGGCCUCCCGUCUUCACCUGGCCCUGGGCCACUUGGAGCAUUAGCACCAUUGUUCCAUUUACUUCACCAUUGGCAGACAGCAGUGACGAUCUCAGGACAUGGCCAGUUGCAGUGGCUCAUGCCUAUAAUCCUAGCACUUUGGGAGGCUCUGGUGGAAGGAUCACUUGAGGCCAAGAGUUUGCAUGGGCAACAUAACAAGGUUUCAUAACUACAAAAAAUUGAAAGAAAAAAAUGAACAACAGGGCUAAGCAGAAUUGGUGAGAGAUUUGGGCAAGACCUGGGGCCCUUGGGUAGGGAGGGAGGUUGGCAGGGCUGAUGAAAGCUGCCCUGCCUGGAUUGACUCCUCUGGGCAUCUAGACUGUGACCCUGGGCCUCCCUUCACUUCCAAGAGCUCAUUAGCAAAACUGCUGGGAAGCUGCACACGGGAUGCAGCUGGAAUGACCAGGUGCCUCUAGCCCCUCCAACCCCCUGCUUUUUGCUGUCCCAAUGUUGGGGAGCCCAGGGGGCAGUUAGAGCUCAGCAGGGUCCUGGCUCCCCAGGGAAGCAGCUCAUCAGCCUCCCUGAGCAUCACCUCCUGCUUGCACAGGUGGUCAUGGAGCUUAGACUAUGGAUGUGGCAGACCUGCUCGAUGCUCUCCGGCCUCUUGUGGGAGCCCAUCAGGACCAUGGUGGAUCCCACAGAGGUGUGAGUCCCAAGGCACACCCAGGGGUUAGAGAGAGGUGUGAUGGCAUCCUGAACAGCAGACUAGGUGGCAGGGACAAACAGGGUGGAGAUGCCAGGCCCUGGGGGACGGGUAUUACAGAACGCCGAGAUUGAGGCAGAACAGCCAGGAGUGGGGCAUUUCCUGCAGUCCCCAAUACUCCCAUGGCAGUCUAGCUCAGCAGGCAGGGAAGAGUCACCCUUUGUGGGGCCUGGUGUGGUGGCUCAUGACUGUAAUUCCAGCACUUUGGGAGGCAGAGGCUGGUGGAUCACCUGAGGUCAGGAGUUCACGACCAGCCUGGCUAACAUGGUGAAACCCUGUCUCUAAUAAAAAUACAAAAAUUAGCCAGACGUGGUGGUGUGCACCUGUAAUCACAGCUACUUGGGAGGCUGAGGCAGGAGAAUCCCUUGAACCCAAAAGGCGGAGAUUGCAGUGAGCUGUGAUUGCAUCACUGCACUUCGGCCUAGGAGACAGAGUGAGACUCCACCUCAAAAACUAAAAAAUAAAAAGGAAGAGAACUCAUCCUUUGCAGAUUUGAGGGAAGGAAACUAAGGCACUAGCUUGGCUGUGCCUGGAGCAGCAAGAGUCUCUCCCCACUCUGCCUGUGUCCCACGUCUCCCGCAUUAUGUGUCCCCACCCAGCCCAUCUGGUGAAAGGCAGAGGCAAAGGCUGCCUCCUGCUGGCCUCAUCCCAGGCUUUGGCUUCUGGGACCUGGUGUCUUUGGGUCUGGAUUUGUUCCUUGUAGACCUGGAGGAGGAGCUGCUGGGGAGUCUCCACGUGUUGUCAGAGACCCCUCCUCUUGGUCAGCUCCCUGUGACCCCUGUUUCUCAGACUGGGAGGGAAAUAAGGGCACACAAUUGUGACCAUGGAGGUGGCGCAAGGCUGCUAGGAGGAACGGAGUGUCUGCUACAGAACUCAGGGUUUCUUUCAUUUACUUUUUUUUUUUUGAGACAGGGUCUUGCUCUGUCACCUAGUCUGGAGUGCAGUGGUGGGAUCUCUCCUACCUGCAAACUUUGCCUCCCUGGAUCAAGUGAUUCUCCUACCUCAGCCUCCCAAGUAGCUGGGAUUACAGGUAUGUGCACCACAUGCAGCUAAUUUUUGUAUUUUUUUCAGUAGAGAUGGAUUUUACCAUGUUGGCCAGGCUGAUCUCUUGAACUCCUGAGCUCAGGUGAUCUGCCCACCUCAGCCUGCCAGAGUGCUGGGAUUAUAGGCAUAAGCCACUGCAUCCAGCCUAAUUUUAAAAUUUUUAACUUUUUUUUUUUUGAGAUAGAGUUUUGCUCUUGUCACCCAGGCUGAAGUGCAAUGGCACUCGGCUCAGUGCAACCUCUGCCUCCCAGAUUCAAGCAAUUCUCCUGCCUCAGUCUCCACAGUAGCUGGAACUACAGGUAUGUGCCACACCCAGCUAAUUUUUGUAUUUUUUAGUAGAGACAGGGUAUUACCAUGUGGCCAGGAUGUUCUCAAUCUCCUGAUCUUGUGGUCCAUCCACGUUGACCUCCCAAAGUGCUGGCAUUACAGGCGUGAGCAACCACACCCGGCCAAAUUUUCUCUGUUUGUCUUUAGAGAUGAGCUCUUGCUCUGUCACCUAGGCUGGAGUGCAGUGGCUCAGUAAUAGUUCACUGCAGCCUUAAACUCCUGGACUCAAAUGAUCUUCCCACCUCAGCUUUCUGAGUAGGUAAGACCACAGGUGUGCACCACACCCUGCAAAGUUUCUACAUUUUUUUUGUAGUAACGGGUUUUCACUAUGUGGUGCGGUCUGGUUGAAGUCCCAGCCUCAAGUGAUCCUACCAUCUUGGCCUCCCAAAGUGCUGGAAUUACAGGCUUGAGCCACCGUACCUGGCCUUGAGUACAGAAUUUCCUUAGGGGGUGACGAAAAUGCUCUAAAAUCGGUGAUGGAUGUGCACUAAAGUGUGAGUGAUAUCUCAGCAAAGUUGGUUUAUU